This 441-nucleotide ribosomal RNA is filed under the name uncultured bacterium. Its description in RNAcentral is "partial 16S ribosomal RNA". It matches the Rfam family "Bacterial small subunit ribosomal RNA", at positions 338 to 795 of the family's 1533-position model. The record is from RNAcentral.
CCUACGGGUGGCAGCAGUAGGGAAUCUUUCACAAUGGGCGAAAGCCUGAUGGAGCAACGCCGCGUGCAGGAUGAAGGCCUUCGGGUUGUAAACUGCUUUUAUAAGCGAGAAAUAUGAUGGUAACUUAUGAAUAAGGAUCGGCUAACUACGUGCCAGCAGCCGCGGUCAUACGUAGGAUCCGAGCAUUAUCCGGAGUGACUGGGUGUAAAGAGUUGCGUAGGUGGCAUAAUAAGUAGCUAGUGAAAUCUGGUGGCUCAACCAUUCAGACUAUUAGCUAAACUGUUAAGCUCGAGACCGUUAGGGGUAACUGGAAUUUCUAGUGUAGGAGUGAAAUCCGUAGAUAUUAGAAGGAACACCAAUAGCGUAGGCAGGUUGCUGGGACGGUUCUGACACUAAGGCACGAAAGCGUAGGGAGCAAACGGGAUUAGAUACCCCUGUGUC